AAGAUCAUACUUCAUAGGAUCAUUUCUAUAGUAUGAUUAGAGGUUCACUCACCGAACCUCGCAGAAAACCCAACCACGAUGAUGUGAGAUGGGGUUUCUUCCUGAGCGUGAAAGUGGCUCUUUGGUGCUCUUCGGAGUGUCGAGCAGCCGUUGAUGAUCGCACUCUCUGGCCAUUGCGGCUGGGAGAUGGAAGGAACUCGAUCUGAGUGGU
Molecule: small nucleolar RNA, 211 nt
Organism: Argiope bruennichi
Lineage: Eukaryota; Metazoa; Arthropoda; Arachnida; Araneae; Araneidae
Product: small nucleolar RNA U3
Exons: 1
Source: RefSeq, a predicted model, not a curated record